This 715-nucleotide ribosomal RNA is filed under the name Franciscoloa roseicapillae. Its description in RNAcentral is "12S ribosomal RNA". Lineage: Eukaryota; Metazoa; Arthropoda; Insecta; Psocodea; Menoponidae. The record is from RNAcentral.
GCUGAUAUUAUAAUUCUCAUACAUGGUUUAGUAGGGAUUAAAUUUAUAUAAAUAGUGAAUAGUUAUAGUUAUUUAAACUAAGUCUGGAAAAUUAUGUGCCAGCAUCAGCGGUCAUACAUAAGGGCUAAGCUUUUUUUUACUACAAUACUUAAAAUUGAGAUAAUUUACAACACAACAAGAAAUUAUUUAUGGUGAAAUAAAAUAAUUUUAAUAUUUUAAAAAUUGAACGUUAAUAAGCUACUAAAUAAACCAGGAUUUGAUACCCUGUUAUUGUAGCUUACAAAAAAUUGUAGAAAACUACCUUAUAAUUAGGGAAAUUUAAAAAUCAUGACAGUUAGAAUUUCUUAUCAGAUGAAUAUGUCUUUUAAUAUGAUACUCCCCAAAAAAUCUGACUUAAACUUGAAUAUUUUACACUCUUCCCACCGCCGUUUUGGGUAUAAUGAAUUUUUACUAGUAAUUGGACUAACUAUGUGUGUUAGACUAAAUUAAUCAGGUAAAGGUGAAGGUUAUGUUUAAGGUGAGAUGUAUUACAUUUUAGUUAAAAGUGGAAUAAUUAUUGAAAAUAGUUAUGAAAAUGAAUUUGAAAGUAAUAAAUUUUAAUAAUAAAUUUAUGAAUAUGAACUUUCUUUUGUACAGAUCGCCCGUCGCCCCCAAGCCAUUCUCGGGGUAAGUCGAAACACAGUAGAAGUACUGGAAAGUGUUUCUAUAUACUAGA